This 439-nucleotide ribosomal RNA is filed under the name uncultured bacterium. RNAcentral's name for it is "partial 16S ribosomal RNA". It matches the Rfam family "Bacterial small subunit ribosomal RNA", at positions 338 to 795 of the family's 1533-position model. The record is from RNAcentral.
CCUACUGGAGGCAGCAGUAGGGAAUAUUGCUCAAUGGGGGAAACCCUGAAGCAGCAACGCCGCGUGGAGGAUGAAGGUUUUCGGAUUGUAAACUCCCUUUGUUCGAGCAGAUAAUGACGGUAUCUAACGAAUAAGCACCGGCUAACUCCGUGCCAGCAGCCGCGGUAAUACGGAGGGUGCAAGCGUUACUCGGAAUCACUGGGCGUUAAGAGCGCGUAGGCGGGAUAGCAAGUCAGAUGUGAAAUCCUGUGGCUUAACCAUAGAACUGCAUUUGAAACGGUAAUUUGGGGGUAUGGGAGAGGUAGGGGGAAUUCUUGGUGUAGGGGUAAAUCCGUAGAGAUCAAGAGGAAUACUCAUUGCGAAGGCGACCUGCUAGAACAUAACUGACGCUGAUGCGCGAAAGCGUGGGGAGCAAACAGGAUUAGAUACCCGUGUAGUC